This is a long non-coding RNA of Gopherus flavomarginatus (Mexican gopher tortoise), 888 nucleotides long. RefSeq lists it as uncharacterized. The transcript has 3 exons. NCBI's taxonomy places the organism in Eukaryota, Metazoa, Chordata, Testudines, Testudinidae. The record is from RefSeq and is a predicted model, not a curated record.
GGGUGUAGCAGAGGGUUUGGAGUGGGGACAGGGUCGGGGGAAGAGUUGGGGGUAGCAGUGUGGGGUUGGGUGUAGCAGAGGGUUUGGAGUGGGGACGGGGGGUAGUGGUGGGUUUGGGGCAGGGGAAGAGUUGGGGGUAGCCGUGGGUUUGGAGCGGGGACAGGGUUGGGGGAAGAAUUGGGGUACCAGUAGGGGUGGGGGGUAGCAGUGGGUUUGGAGCAGGGAUGGGGUUGGGGGAAGAGUUGGGGUACCAGUGGGUUUGGAGUGGGGACGGGGUUGGGGGUAGCAGUGGGUUUGGGGCAGGGUCGGGUUUGGGGGUAGCAGUGGGCUUGGGGCAGGGUCGGGGGAAGAGCUGGGGGCAGCAGUGGGGGUUGGGGUAGCAGUGGGAUUGGGGCGGGGUUGGGGGAAGAGUUGGGGGUAGCAGUGGGGUUGGUGGUAAUGAUGGGGUUGGGUUGGUGGUAGCAGUGGGGUUGGGGAUAGUGGUGGGGUCGGGUUAGGGGGUAGCAGUGGGUUUGGAGUGGGGACGGGGUUGGGGGAAGAGUUGGGGGUAGCAGUAGGAGUUGGGGGUAGUGGGGUUGGAGUGGGGACAGGGUUGGGGGUAGCGGUGGGUUUGGAGCGGGGUUGGGGGAAGAGUUAGGGGGUAGCAGUGGGGUCAGGGGUAAUGGUGAGGUCUGGCUGGGGGUAGCUGUGGGUUUGGAGUGGGGACGGGGUUAGGGGAAGAGUUAGGGGUAGCAGUGGGGUUGGGGGUACAGUGGAUUUGGAGUGGGGUUGGGGGAAGAGUUGAGGGGUAGCAGUGGGGUCGGGGGUAGUGGUGAGGUCUGGCUGGGGGUAGCUGUGGGUUUGGAGUGGGGACGGGGUUGGGGGGAAGAUUGGGGGGUAACAGUGGGG